CCCCUCUCAGGGUCGCACCUGGAGAGUUUCCAGUCCUCUCCCAGUCUCGGCUAUGGGAGGGGAGAGUCGAGCAGAGGCCCGUCCGUUCCAUUCCUAGCUUGGCCAGUGGCUAGCGAGUGGAAGGCGAUCUGCCCCAAGU
This is a small nucleolar RNA of Tachyglossus aculeatus (Australian echidna), 139 nucleotides long. The record is from RefSeq and is a predicted model, not a curated record. Lineage: Eukaryota; Metazoa; Chordata; Mammalia; Monotremata; Tachyglossidae.